This is a non-coding RNA of Picea glauca (white spruce), 123 nucleotides long. The record is from Rfam. NCBI's taxonomy places the organism in Eukaryota, Viridiplantae, Streptophyta, Pinopsida, Pinales, Pinaceae.
AUGUACAUGCCUACAUCAUAACAUUAAUGCACCGGAUCCAAUUAGAAAUCCAUUGUUAAGUGUGCUCGGGCUAGAGUAGUAUUGAUAUGGGUGACCUCCCUGAAAGUCCUAGUGUUUUACAUG